Pomacea canaliculata is the source of this 1190-nucleotide long non-coding RNA. RefSeq lists it as uncharacterized. Lineage: Eukaryota; Metazoa; Mollusca; Gastropoda; Architaenioglossa; Ampullariidae. The record is from RefSeq and is a predicted model, not a curated record. The transcript is spliced from 3 exons.
CAUCAAAAAAUCGCAACCCGCGGCUUCCUCAGCUUUCAUCUUUUGGCGGCGACGCGUUUCAUAAAAGUCGACUUAUAGGGAGGGACGAAUUAUUUAUUAGCCACUUUUCCGCGCGUCCGAGCACUAAUCCAUUGUAACGAGCCAACCAGAUGAACGCAUUCAAAAGCCAUUAGAAGAGACACCAGCUACCCUCCUUCCGUUCUUGAUUUAUGUUUAAGGUUUUAUUCGGCCCCUUUCUCUGUUCCCUCCCAUUGCCAUUUUCCUUGCGCUUAUUGAAACCUCUCCUGUCGUUUGAGGCCACCGUUUGUCCGCCAUCACCGCACAUGCUGCUGUAGGGAGGGUUUGGAGGAUUCAGUUUGGCCACAGUCCUCCUCGCAGACGACGUCCUUCAUGGCUGUCUGCGCCAACGAUGCCUGGGGGCAGUUGUGGGGGAUCUUUACGGGUGAACAGGCUUUUCUUGUCUGCAGUUUCCUUGUGCUUGUGUGUGUGUGUGCGUACCUGCGUGCCUGCUUGCGUGUGUGAGUGUGUGUGGGAUUUUUUUAAAGAUGAUCAUAGACUUUGAACUCAUCGAGCAAGAACUAUAGCUACAUAACCCUGCUUACCUGCCCACACCGCCAUGGCUGUGCUUGUAGUCGCCGAUACACGGGGUUGUGGACUCUUGUCCUCCUGCUUGGCUCCCUUGGCACAACAAGUGACACAGCCACCAGCAGGCCACCCCUGUAUGUACACAAUCUACCCACGUGGACCCACGCAAGAAGACGCAGACAGAAUGAAUAGAGAGUGGGACCCGUCUGACAGCUUACAGUGUUUCAAGUUUGUUGUCAAGGAUCAUCAGUCAUUUUGGAUACAGCGUUGCCGAAGGAUGACGAGAGCUGUGGACACUGGGAGGAACUGCAAAAGUACAGGUGUGAUUGUAGAGCGAACUGUGAAGGCAGUCAAGUUGUUGCUGGAUUCUGUCAUCACAACUGGAAUUGCGGAAGCAGGACACCCAGGACUUGUGGUUUCCUGAAGUAUGUCACCUUGUGGUCAGAGUGGAUUAUGGGAUUCGGAUAAACCUGUGAGUUCUUCGUGGGCCGAUGUCAGCAGGAUUAGUGUCAUCCGUGUGGGAAGCAAGCUGUCAGGUGACGCCUACAGGUCCACGUGACAAGCACACCUUGCCCACACCAUCCUCCUCCCCACAGGAGAAUUUU